GACGAACGCUGGCGGCGUGCUUAACACAUGCAAGUCGAACGCUGAAGCCCAGCUUGCUGGGUGGAUGAGUGGCGAACGGGUGAGUAACACGUGAGUAACCUGCCCCCUUCUUUGGGAUAACGCCCGGAAACGGGUGCUAAUACUGGAUAUUCACUGGCUUUCGCAUGGGGGUUGGUGGAAAGGUUUUUUCUGGUGGGGGAUGGGCUCGCGGCCUAUCAGCUUGUUGGUGGGGUGAUGGCCUACCAAGGCUUUGACGGGUAGCCGGCCUGAGAGGGUGACCGGUCACAUUGGGACUGAGAUACGGCCCAGACUCCUACGGGAGGCUGCAUUGGGGAAUAUUGUACAGUGGGUGAAAUCUUC
This 360-nucleotide ribosomal RNA is filed under the name uncultured Actinomyces sp. RNAcentral's name for it is "bacterial SSU rRNA". It matches the Rfam family "Bacterial small subunit ribosomal RNA", at positions 28 to 385 of the family's 1533-position model. The record is from RNAcentral. Lineage: Bacteria; Bacillati; Actinomycetota; Actinomycetes; Actinomycetales; Actinomycetaceae.